Molecule: ribosomal RNA, 390 nt
Filed under: uncultured bacterium
Lineage: Bacteria
Description: bacterial SSU rRNA
Rfam family: Bacterial small subunit ribosomal RNA
Source: RNAcentral
CGCACCGACCUAACUGCAGUGGAUACGGGGCGACUAGAUUGUGGUAGAGGGUAGCGGAAUUCCUGGUGUAGCAGUGAAAUGCGUACAGAUCAGGAGGAACAUCCAUGGCGAAGGCAGCUACCUGGACCAACACUGACACUGAGGCACGAAAGCGUGGGGAGCAAACAGGAUUAGAUACCCUGGUAGUCCACGCCCUAAACGAUGCGAACUGGAUGUUGGGUGCAAUUUGGCACGCAGUAUCGAAGCUAACGCGUUUAGUUCGCCGCCUGGGGAAUACGGUCGCAAGACUGAAACUCAAAGGAAUUGACGGGGGCCCGCACAAGCGGUGGAGUUGUGGUUUAAUUCGAUGAACGCGAAAAACCUUAGCUGGCCUGAAAAUGUCCAAAAUUU